RNAcentral lists this ribosomal RNA (497 nucleotides) under uncultured bacterium. Its description in RNAcentral is "partial 16S ribosomal RNA". It matches the Rfam family "Bacterial small subunit ribosomal RNA", at positions 28 to 507 of the family's 1533-position model. The record is from RNAcentral.
GACGAACGCUGGCGGCGUGCCUAAUACAUGCAAGUUGAGCGCUGAAGGUUGGUACUUGUACCAACUGGAUGAGCAGCGAACGGGUGAGUAACGCGUGGGGAAUCUGCCUUUGAGCGGGGGACAACAUUUGGAAACGAAUGCUAAUACCGCAUAAAAACUUUAAGCACAAGGUUGAAGGUUGAAAGACGCAAUUGCAGCACUUAAAGAUGAUUUCGCGUUGUAUUAGCUAGUUGGUGAGGUAAAGGCUCACCAAGGCGAUGAUACAUAGCCGACCUGAGAGGGUGAUCGGCCACAUUGGGACUGAGACACGGCCCAAACUCCUACGGGAGGCAGCAGUAGGGAAUCUUCGGCAAUGGACGAAAGUCUGACCGAGCAACGCCGCGUGAGUGAAGAAGGUUUUCGGAUCGUAAAACUCUGUUGGUAGAGAAGAACGUUGGUGAGAGUGGAAAGCUCAUCAAGUGACGGUAACUACCCAGAAAGGGACGGCUAACUACGUG